GAAGACAUCUUCGCGCUCAGACAUGUGGCGACGACUUUUAAUUGUUCACUGUCUCGCAGGAUUUUGGCUGCAGUUACAUCAGAUGAACACACGGGGGCGGCCGAGCUCCAUUAUUCACCAGAACGAGAGGCAAUCUAUAGUUCGUUCACAAUCAGCACGUGUAGCUUGAACCCGAUGAAGAGCUUCAAACGAUAAGACGCAGCUUCGACUCAGUGGAUGACAGGU
RNAcentral lists this long non-coding RNA (225 nucleotides) under Sinocyclocheilus anshuiensis. RNAcentral describes it as "lncRNA (ENSSANG00000022960.1)". Lineage: Eukaryota; Metazoa; Chordata; Actinopteri; Cypriniformes; Cyprinidae. The record is from RNAcentral.